GGCUUAAUUUGACUCAACGCGGGGAAUCUUACCGGGUCCGGACACACUGAGGAUUGACAGACAGUUGUCUUUCCCUCCCUUCGGGGUGGGAUUACAAAAGAUAACAGAUCUUUCAUGAUCAUGUGAUGGGUGGUGCAUGGCCGUUCUUAGUUCGUGGAGUGAUCUGUCUGCUUAAUUGCGUUUCAAAUUUUAUAUUUGUUAACAUGCGAGUCUUCAAUGACGGCCACUCCACCUUAUAGACAUUAUAUGAUAUGCACAUUUGUGUAUUUGAUUAUAACUUGUCUGGAGUCUGGCUCGAUUUUUUUGACUCAAUUGAACGCAACGGACGUGAUUGCAAGUCCUUGUUGAACAAAUUAUAUAUAUACUACUUCAUCAUUAGUAUAUAUAGUUCGCUUCUCAUGUCGUAGCAGUCAAACGGGCGGGCGUCUUAAUUGGCGCGGUCACGAGGCUUAAUAUGCUGCGGCUGGGAAAACUUGGGCGACCGCUGUAAUACUUCUCUCUUAAACCAGAGGAAGAUUGCGGCAAUAACAGG
This 532-nucleotide ribosomal RNA is filed under the name Globigerinella siphonifera. RNAcentral describes it as "bacterial SSU rRNA". It matches the Rfam family "Eukaryotic small subunit ribosomal RNA", at positions 1187 to 1460 of the family's 1831-position model. Lineage: Eukaryota; Foraminifera; Rotaliida; Globigerinidae. The record is from RNAcentral.